AGUUCUUCAGGAAGCAGGAGUCUUAGAAGUCUUGUUGAGCUAAGGAACAGGGAUCAGCUUGUUGAUAAGUACAUGGUUUUUUUUCUUUCCUUGUUUUUUUUUCCAAAUCUUUGUUUUUGCUUUCCUUUUAGAAUUGUAGAUUCAAUUAAAGGGAGGGGUUAUUCUAGUGUUUAUAAUUUUGGUAUUGCAUACGAUGAGUGAGUUUUAAGAGUUAAUU
This 217-nucleotide long non-coding RNA is filed under the name Carica papaya (papaya). RNAcentral describes it as "long non-coding RNA (CPAP_LNC016546)". The record is from RNAcentral. Lineage: Eukaryota; Viridiplantae; Streptophyta; Magnoliopsida; Brassicales; Caricaceae.